CCCUUAGAUGCUCUGGGCCGCACGCGCGCUACACUGGUCGAUGCAACGAGUUUCUUUCCUUGGCCGACAGGCCUGGGCAAUCUUUGAACAUCGAUCGUGAUCGGGAUAGAUUCUUGUAAUUUUUGAUCUUAAACGAGGAAUUCCUAGUAAACGCAAGUCAUCAGCUUGCAUUGAUUACGUCCCUGCCCUUUGUACACACCGCCCGUCGCACCUACCGAUUGAAUGGUCCGGUGAAAUCUCCGGACUGGCGUGAGUCGGAGCAAUCUGACAAACACCGGAAAGUUGAUUUAACCUUACCAUUUAGAGGAAGGUGAAGUCGUAACA
Molecule: ribosomal RNA, 324 nt
Filed under: uncultured eukaryote
Lineage: Eukaryota
Description: partial 18S ribosomal RNA
Rfam family: Eukaryotic small subunit ribosomal RNA
Source: RNAcentral